Molecule: ribosomal RNA, 955 nt
Filed under: uncultured bacterium
Lineage: Bacteria
Description: bacterial SSU rRNA
Rfam family: Bacterial small subunit ribosomal RNA
Source: RNAcentral
AGAGUUUGAUCAUGGCUCAGAACGAACGCUGGCGGCGUGCUUAACACAUGCAAGUCGAGUGCGCGGUUGUAGCAAUACAACUGGCGCACGGCGCACGGGUGCGUAACACGUGGGCAAUCUGCCCUUCGAUGGGGAAUAACUCCGGGAAACCGAAGCUAAUUCCGCAUAACAUUCCCUGGACUCCGGUUUGGGGACUCAAAGCAGUAAUGCGUCGAAGGAGGAGCCCGCGCCCGAUUAGCUAGUUGGUAGGGUAACGGCCUACCAAGGCUAUGAUCGGUAGCUGGUCUGAGAGGAUGGCCAGCCACACUGGAACUGAGACACGGUCCAGACUCCUACGGGAGGCAGCAGUGGGGAAUCUUGCGCAAUGGGCGAAAGCCUGACGCAGCGACGCCGCGUGGGGGAUGAAGCAUCUCGGUGUGUAAACCCCUUUCGACUGGGACGAAUGCCUCGCAAGAGGAGUGACGGUACCAGUAGAAGAAGCCCCGGCUAACUACGUGCCAGCAGCCGCGGUAAGACGUAGGGGGCCAGCGUUGUUCGGAAUUACUGGGUGUAAAGGGUUCGUAGGCGGUGUGGCAAGUCGGGAGUGAAAUCUAUGGGCUUAACCCAUAGGCUGCUUCCGAAACUGCUGUGCUCGAGUGUGGGAGAGGCGCGUGGAAUUGCAGGUGUAGCGGUGAAAUGCGUAGAUAUCUGCAGGAACACCCGUGGCGAAAGCGGCGCGCUGGACCACUACUGACGCUGAGGAACGAAAGCUAGGGGAGCAAACAGGAUUAGAUACCCUGGUAGUCCUAGCCCUAAACGAUCAGGACUUGGGGUGCCGCACGUUCGUGCGUCGUCCCGGAGCUAACGCGUUAAGUCCUGCACCUGGGGAGUACGGUCGCAGACUGAAACUCAAAGGAAUUGACGGGGCCCGCACAAGCGGUGGAACAUGUGGUUCAAUUCGACGCUACGCGAGGAA